This 451-nucleotide ribosomal RNA is filed under the name uncultured bacterium. RNAcentral describes it as "bacterial SSU rRNA". It matches the Rfam family "Bacterial small subunit ribosomal RNA", at positions 30 to 474 of the family's 1533-position model. The record is from RNAcentral.
AUUGAACGCUGGCGGCAUGCCUUACACAUGCAAGUCGAACGGCAGCACGGGAGUAAUCCUGGUGGCGAGUGGCGAACGGGUGAGUAAUACAUCGGAACGUGUCCUGUAGUGGGGGAUAGCCCGGCGAAAGCCGGAUUAAUACCGCAUACGAUCUGUGGAUGAAAGCGGGGGAUCUUAGGACCUCGCGCUACAGGGGCGGCCGAUGGCAGAUUAGCUAGUUGGUGGGGUAAAGGCCUACCAAGGCGACGAUCUGUAGCUGGUCUGAGAGGACGACCAGCCACACUGGGACUGAGACACGGCCCAGACUCCUACGGGAGGCAGCAGUGGGGAAUUUUGGACAAUGGGCGCAAGCCUGAUCCAGCAAUGCCGCGUGUGUGAAGAAGGCCUUCGGGUUGUAAAGCACUUUUGUCCGGAAAGAAAACCUCCGUCCUAAUACGGUGGGGGGAUGACG